Molecule: long non-coding RNA, 2839 nt
Organism: Sorghum bicolor (sorghum)
Lineage: Eukaryota; Viridiplantae; Streptophyta; Magnoliopsida; Poales; Poaceae
Exons: 9
Source: RefSeq, a predicted model, not a curated record
GCUGGCUCGCGUGACCGCCCAGCACUCCCUGUAGGCGUGUUGCUUUACGAAACCUCCUCACUCCCACCACGUCAUCGAUCCAAGGCAUAGCGACAUCCCCAAUCGGCGUUGGUCUGCCCGUCCUUCCUUCCCAAUCGGCUGCGGCGGCUUCAAACCAAUCGGCAACGGCGGUGCCACUCAGCUCCCAAUCGGCAACGGCGGUGCCACACCCAUUUAUCCUGGUGCCCCGACCACAUGACAGCGAGGCUGCAGCUUCCGUCAGCUCCCCGACGCUAGUGCCGCCGACCGCUCGCCGCCGCUGCCGGGGUUUGGGCCGCCGCCGCCGCCGCCGCUCGACACCGACGCUGCAGCACUACUCCGCCGACGCACUCACCACGUCUUCUCCCGCCGGCCGACCAGCAAGAGGAGCCGUGACCCCGCUUCGCUCGACUGUAUAACUCCAGCGAGGAACAGCCUCUGCGAAGUUGCUGAUUCCAUCGCAGUUCCGGAGCUCGAGGCCGAGAGUGCCGGUCAAGGUCUUCGGAGAUCUCGACAUCACGCUUUGCCUCCAGGCGCUGCUCCACCCUCUGCCGUUUCUAACCUCGCCUGUGGCCUCCGACGCCCCCACCGUCGCUGUGCCCUUUGCUGGCUGAGGAGCAUCUGCGCCCUCCAGCCACCGCGUCCACGCCGUGCGGCCACUGCCUAACCCCGCAGCAGCAACUCGCCCCCGACUUAGGCCAUCUGGCUUCCCUUGGAUCGACCGUCCACUGCUGCGUUGCUUGCCUGCUGAUGAGAACUCUUGUGUGUGGAAAAGUAAGGUCAGAGAGGUGAUCACAGUGGUGGAGAAGGAGCUGGGAUUUGGUGAAGGAAAACUUCUGCAUAAGCUUUGCAAGUUUAACAACUGGCUCUGAAAAUCAAGCAUCUUUUCAAAAAAAAAAAACAUACAUCAGCUGUUGUACACAAGAAGAAAUUUGCAAAGAUUUUAUGUAAGGAGAAUUCCAUCCUUAACUGUUGACAUAGUUGGUCCAUUAAGCACAUAUCACUAUUCUCCAGAUCCUCGGAUUCAUAUAAUGGAUAAAAAUUCUCGUGCACCAUUGGGAGACAAAACUAACACUGCCAAAGAAGUCAAUGCUAAAGAACGUAAGAGAGAAAGGGAUAGAGCUCGAUGGCUUGAACAAAAGGAUGCAAUUAACAAGAGACGUCGUGAAAAAUACCAUCAGAGAAAAAACCAACAUGUUCUUCGAACUACAAACUAUGAUGAUGCCGCAUCGUUGAUCCUGGCGAAACAGAUGACUGGCUCCAUAAGAAUGAUUCUUAUUAUACCAACAAUAUUGUUGAUGAGAACAUGUCCACUCGAUUAUCAUGUAAUUUAAGAUGCUGAAGUAUUUUAGGUCUAUGAAAAUGAUGUUGUGCAAUGAUAUGAAACAAUAUAGCUAAUAAAUGUAUUUAUAUGAUUUUGUUGAUAGAUGAGCUAGAAAUGAAGACUAUAGAGAAGGAUAGUACUAUUGGUACAAAAAGUACAUCAAAAAGUAACUACAAGUGAAUGGUACAAAAACAUGACGCCUAAACAAAGGGAAGCAAGGCGCGAGCGCAAAGGCUAUACAAUAGUGAACCCAAGCGUAAGGAGACAUUAAAACUGUCUAAGAACAAAUUCAAAGAACUGCGAAAGCACACCCUGCACCCGGAGUCUAUCACCAUGGAGAACCCGUUAUUUACUCCUGAGCUUGUUUGGCCCACUGCGGGCGCAUCUGGAGCUCAUGGAUCCAUGACAAAAUCCAGUGAUUGGGUUAUCCCAGAGUCCAGUGCAACAUCUCUUUAUAUUUCUCCACCUCAUGUGGUCGAGGAUGAAGGAUGUGAUGAGUUAGUACCUGGCCAUAUGCCACAUAGAUCACAUAUUUCAUCUGGUCAAAGACAUGCAUUAUUGACCUAUCAUAACACGAGGUUUGAGCGUCGUAUUGGUUCGAACACAAGGACAUCUAAUAAAGAUGGUGACUGCAUAGCUGAAGACCAAGUGGAUGUUAACACAUCCUUGCCUCAUUCAGCUGUGAGCAACAAUGGUGGAUGCCUUGUUAUCCCAUUUAGAUGACAUGUAUAACAUAUUAACCUAAUGAUCCUUGGUCAUUUCAUGAUUAACAGAAAAUGUAGGAUCCAAAGUUCAAGCUACAUCAAUCACACUAAUGACACCAUUGUUUUAUGAUUGUGAAUGCAUUACUAAAGGCCAAGUGGAUGUUAACACGCCCUUGCCUCAAUCAGCUAUGACCAACAUGCCCUUAUCAGAAGGGAUAGGACGUAUCCUUAAGCCUAGGCCAGACAUACCGAUGACACCACUAUUCGAUGAUAGUGGUAAUUUACAUUGUUUUCUAACAUUCUAUAAACUAUUUGAACUCCUUUGUUUAUUUUUACCCAUAGUUCUACUAACUCAUGUAUCUUUGAUAGCCAUAGAUGAUGAUGAGGGAGAUAUAUUUGAAGAGGAUGAGGGAUACCUGUUUGCUGGGCAUGAUGAGGAAGAUGAUGACGAUGUCCAAGACAAUGACCUUGAGGAAGACAUGACUUCUAUCCCUGAAGUACCUGACCAAUAUGAUGAGGUGUAUAGUAACAUGCCUACUGAUACCCAUAUGCUAAAACCUGUCGCAAAUUGUGACCACUGCAAUGCGAAAAGGUUUGAGCAUGAAUCACCUGGGUUCUGUUGUCACAACGGGUAGGUCGAGCUCAAUGAGCCGAAUGUACCUGAUGAGCUUAUGAGGCUUUGGUCAUGUGACGAUGCAGAUGCUAGGCACUUUCGUAAUAGCAUUAGGUUUUUCAAUGGCCAUUUCUCUUUCACAUCUCUAUAUUGUCGCCUUGAUAGCGCUACUGCAAGCAU